GAUGAACGCUAGCGGCAGGCCUAACACAUGCAAGUCGAGGGGUAGAACACUUCGGUGUUUGAGACCGGCGCACGGGUGCGUAACGCGUAUGCAAUCUACCUUAUACAGGGGAAUAGCCCAGAGCAAUUUGGAUUAAUGCCCCAUAGCAUUACGACUUGGCAUCAAGAUGUAAUUAAAGUUCCAACGGUAUAAGAUGAGCAUGCGUCCCAUUAGUUAGUUGGUAAGGUAACGGCUUACCAAGACGAUGAUGGGUAGGGGUCCUGAGAGGGAGACCCCCCACACUGGUACUGAGACACGGACCAGACUCCUACGGGAGGCAGCAGUGAGGAAUAUUGGUCAAUGGUCGCAAGACUGAACCAGCCAUGCCGCGUGCAGGAAGACGGUCCUAUGGAUUGUAAGCUGCUUUUAUACAGGAAGAAACCCUCCCACGUGUGGGAGCUUGACGGUACUGUAGGAAUAAGGAUCGGCUAACUCCGUGCCAGCAGCCGCCGUAA
Molecule: ribosomal RNA, 494 nt
Filed under: uncultured bacterium
Lineage: Bacteria
Description: partial 16S ribosomal RNA
Rfam family: Bacterial small subunit ribosomal RNA
Source: RNAcentral